GACGAACGCUGGCGGCGUGCUUAACACAUGCAAGUCGAACGGAAAGGCCCUGCUUUUGUGGGGUGCUCGAGUGGCGAACGGGUGAGUAACACGUGAGUAACCUGCCCUUGACUUUGGGAUAACUUCAGGAAACUGGGGCUAAUACCGGAUAGGAGCUCCUGCUGCAUGGUGGGGGUUGGAAAGUUUCGGCGGUUGGGGAUGGACUCGCGGCUUAUCAGCUUGUUGGUGGGGUAGUGGCUUACCAAGGCUUUGACGGGUAGCCGGCCUGAGAGGGUGACCGGCCACAUUGGGACUGAGAUACGGCCCAGACUCCUACGGGAGGCAGCAGUGGGGAAUAUUGCACAAUGGGCGGAAGCCUGAUGCAGCAACGCCGCGUGCGGGAUGACGGCCUUCGGGUUGUAAUCCACUUUCGCCUGUGACGAAGCGUGAGUGACGGUAAUGGGUAAAGAAGCACCGGCUAACUACGUG
This 468-nucleotide ribosomal RNA is filed under the name uncultured bacterium. Its description in RNAcentral is "partial 16S ribosomal RNA". It matches the Rfam family "Bacterial small subunit ribosomal RNA", at positions 28 to 507 of the family's 1533-position model. The record is from RNAcentral.